Suncus etruscus (white-toothed pygmy shrew) is the source of this 107-nucleotide small nuclear RNA. NCBI's taxonomy places the organism in Eukaryota, Metazoa, Chordata, Mammalia, Eulipotyphla, Soricidae. The record is from RefSeq and is a predicted model, not a curated record.
GUGCUUGCUUCAGCAGCAUAUAUACAAAAAUUGUAAAGAUACAAUGAAAACUAGUAUGGUCCUGCACAAAAAUGAAAUGAUAAAAAAAAAAGAGAGACCUGGCUAUU